CAUGUAGGCGGUUAUGUAAGUGUGGAUUUAAAGGCGGAGGCUUAACCUCUAGUUUGGUCUGCAAACUGCGUAGCUUGAGUGUAGAAGGGGAAACUGGAAUUCCGCGUGUAGGGGUGAAAUCUGUAGAUAUGCGGAAGAAUACCUGUGGCGAAGGCGAGUUUCUGGUCUAUAACUGACGCUGAAAUGCGAAAGUGUGGGUAGCAAACAGGAUUAGAUACCCUGGUAGUCCACACUGUAAACGAUGUACACUAGGUGUUAGAGGGUUAAACUUCUAGUGCCGAAGCUAACGCGAUAAGUGUACCGCCUGGGGAGUAUGCUCGCAAGGGUGAA
RNAcentral lists this ribosomal RNA (330 nucleotides) under uncultured bacterium. Its description in RNAcentral is "bacterial SSU rRNA". It matches the Rfam family "Bacterial small subunit ribosomal RNA", at positions 568 to 898 of the family's 1533-position model. The record is from RNAcentral.